RNAcentral lists this ribosomal RNA (368 nucleotides) under uncultured organism. RNAcentral's name for it is "bacterial SSU rRNA". It matches the Rfam family "Bacterial small subunit ribosomal RNA", at positions 526 to 896 of the family's 1533-position model. The record is from RNAcentral.
CGGAGGGUGCAAGCGUUAUCCGGAUUCACUGGGUUUAAAGGGUGCGUAGGUGGCUUUGUAAGUCAGUGGUGAAAUCUUAGAGCUUAACUCUAAAACUGCCAUUGAUACUGCUUAGCUUGAAUCAAGUAGAGGUGGAUGGGAUAAUACAUGUAGCGGUGAAAUGCUUAGAUAUGUAUUAGAACACCGAUUGCGAAGGCAGUUCACUAUGCUUGUAUUGACACUGAGGCACGAAAGCGUGGGGAUCAAACAGGAUUAGAUACCCUGGUAGUCCACGCCCUAAACGAUGUAAACUCGACAUUAGCGAUAUACAGUUAGUGUCCAAGCGAAAGCGUUAAGUUUACCACCUGGGAAGUACGUCCGCAAGGAUG